Molecule: ribosomal RNA, 1497 nt
Filed under: uncultured bacterium
Lineage: Bacteria
Description: 16S ribosomal RNA
Rfam family: Bacterial small subunit ribosomal RNA
Source: RNAcentral
GUUUGAUUCUGGCUCAGGAUGAACGCUGGCGGCAUGCCUAAUACAUGCAAGUCGAACGGAGUGAAGCCUUCGGGUUUCAUUCAGUGGCGAACGGGUGAGUAAUACGCAGGGAACCUGGCCAUGGCAGGGGGAUACACUCUGGAAACGGAGCAUAAGACCCCAUAGGCAGUAAGGCGGCAUCGCCUUACUGUUAAAGAAAGCUGAAAGGCUUUGGCGAUGGAUGGACCUGCGGUGCAUUAGCUUGUUGGUGAGGCAACGGCUUACCAAGGCGAUGAUGCAUAGCCGGCCUGAGAGGGCGGACGGCCACACUGGGACUGAGACACGGCCCAGACUCCUGCGGGAGGCAGCAGUAGGGAAUUCUCGUCAAUGGGCGCAAGCCUGAACGAGCAAUGCCGCGUGAGUGAGGAAGGUCUUCGGACUGUAAAGCUCUGUUGCCGGGGAAAAAGGGGAAAUGCAGGAAAUGGCAUUUCAUGGAUGGUACCCGGCCAGAAAGCCACGGCUAACUACGUGCCAGCAGCCGCGGUAAUACGUAGGUGGCGAGCGUUAUCCGGAAUGAUUGGGCGUAAAGGGUGCGCAGGCGGUCUGUUAAGUCUGAAGGCAAAGGGAUGAGCUCAACUCAUUUAUGAUUCAGAAACUGGCAGACUUGAGGACAGGAGAGGGCGGUGGAACUCCAUGUGUAGCGGUAAAAUGCGCAGAGAUAUGGAAGAACACCAGUGGCGAAGGCGGCCGCCUGGCCUGUGACUGACGCUGAGGCACGAAAGCGUGGGGAGCAAAUAGGAUUAGAUACCCUAGUAGUCCACGCCGUAAACGAUGAGGAGCAGGUGUUGGGAGUGAAAUCUCAGUGCCGAAGCCAACGCAGUGACUCCUCCGCCUGGGGAGUAUGCACGCAGGUGUGAAACUCAAAGGAAUUGACGGGGGCCCGCACAAGCGGUGGAGUAUGUGGUUUAAUUCGAAGCAACGCGAAGAACCUUACCAGGUUUUGACAUCGGAUGCGAAGGCGCAGAGAUGCGCUGGAGGCUAUCAUCCAGACAGGUGGUGCAUGGUUGUCGUCAGCUCGUGUCGUGAGAUGUUCAGUUAAGUCUGGCAACGAGCGCAACCCCCGUGGUAUGUUACUAACGCUUUAGGGCGAGGACUCAUAUCAGACUGCCGGUGACAAACCGGAGGAAGGCGGGGAUGACGUCAAAUCAUCAUGCCCCUUAUGACCUGGGCUACACACGUACUACAAUGGCGUCUACAGAGGGAAGCGACCCUGAGAAGGGAAGCGAAACCGGAAAAGGGCGUCCCAGUUCGGAUUGAAGUCUGCAACCCGACUUCAUGAAGAUGGAAUCGCUAGUAAUCGCGGAUCAGCAUGCCGCGGUGAAUACGUUCCCGGGCCUUGUACACACCGCCCGUCAAACCAUGGAAGCCGGCAACGCCCGAAGCCGGUGGCAUAACCUUUUAGGAGUGAGCCGUCGAAGGCGGGGCCGAUGACUGGGGUUAAGUCGUAACAAGGUACCC